RNAcentral lists this ribosomal RNA (594 nucleotides) under Saccharomyces cerevisiae (brewer's yeast). RNAcentral's name for it is "eukaryotic LSU rRNA". It matches the Rfam family "Eukaryotic large subunit ribosomal RNA", at positions 56 to 664 of the family's 3401-position model. The record is from RNAcentral. Lineage: Eukaryota; Fungi; Ascomycota; Saccharomycetes; Saccharomycetales; Saccharomycetaceae.
GACCACCGGGAUUGCCUUAGUACGGCGAGUGAAGCGGCAAAAGCUCAAAUAUUGAAAUCUGGUACCUUCGGUGCCCGAGUUGUAAUUUGGAGAGGGCAACUUUGGGGCCGUUCCUUGUCUAUGUUCCUUGGAACAGGACGUCAUAGAGGGUGAGAAUCCCGUGUGGCGAGGAGUGCGGUUCUUUGUAAAGUGCCUUCGAAGAGUCGAGUUGUUUGGGAAUGCAGCUCUAAGUGGGUGGUAAAUUCCAUCUAAAGCUAAAUAUUGGCGAGAGACCGAUAGCGAACAAGUACAGUGAUGGAAAGAUGAAAAGAACUUUGAAAAGAGAGUGAAAAAGUACGUGAAAUUGUUGAAAGGGAAGGGCAUUUGAUCAGACAUGGUGUUUUGUGCCCUCUGCUCCUUGUGGGUAGGGGAAUCUCGCAUUUCACUGGGCCAGCAUCAGUUUUGGUGGCAGGAUAAAUCCAUAGGAAUGUAGCUUGCCUCGGUAAGUAUUAUAGCCUGUGGGAAUACUGCCAGCUGGGACUGAGGACUGCGACGUAAGUCAAGGAUGCUGGCAUAAUGGUUAUAUGCCGCCCGUCUGGGAAACACCGGAUCAUA